Molecule: long non-coding RNA, 2286 nt
Organism: Mesoplodon densirostris (Blainville's beaked whale)
Lineage: Eukaryota; Metazoa; Chordata; Mammalia; Artiodactyla; Ziphiidae
Exons: 3
Source: RefSeq, a predicted model, not a curated record
CUUACAUGGUGCACAGCUCCUCCGUCCGGCCCCGCAGCUCUUGCAGGCCCCGCGUGGCCUGAGCCUGCUCGCGCUGCGCCCGCUCCCACUGGCCCAGGAAGCUGUCAAGCCUGCCGCCGAGGCCCCCGAGCAGCCGUAGGGCCUCCUGCACGGCCCCCUCCUCCUGAUGCCACCGGGCGGUCAGUGAGGACACCUCCCUCCUGUAGGGGUAGAGCUGGUGAUGGAAUCUUUGGCGUGGACCAGUCCACUGUUAACCCAACUCUGGGGAAGAACGGGAGACAGCAGCCAAACUUGUGACUUAAUAGCUGAGCCCCCAGAACACUGGAGCCUCUAACCUACUGCAUUUGAAGAGACCUGCUAUACUUGAGACAUUUAUGUGAGCAACAAACUAUCCUGCUUCAAGCAGCUAUUUUGGUUUCUUUCACAGCUGCUGAACUAAUACACAAAGAAAAGAGAGAACAAGCUUCCUCCAUUGUAAAAUGAGAACAACUUCACAUUUCUUGCGUAACUGCUCUGGAGAACAAGUGUGAUAAGAAAUAUUGUAUUAAGGUGACAUCAGCAAAAUGGUAGGGUCAGGAACCCCCAAAUUCCACCCCUCCAAACUGGCCAAAACUAUGAGUCAAGUCAUUGAGGAGAUUAUAACAAUCAUAAAUAUAUAUGCACCUAAUAGACUUUCAAAACACAUGAAUCAAAAACUGAUAGAGGGCUUCCCUGGCAGCGCAGUGGUUGAGAGUCUGCCUGCCGAUGCAGGGGACACAGGUUCGUGCCCCGGUCUGGGAAGAUCCCACAUGCCAUGGAGCGACUGGACCCGUGGGCCAUGGCUGCUGAGCCUGCAUGUCCGGAGCCUGUGCUCCGCAAUGGGAGAGGCCACAACAGUGAGAGGCCCACGUACCGCAAAAAAAAAAAAAAAAAAAAACUGAUAGAAUUGGGAAUUCUCUGGCAGUCCAGUGGUUAGGACUCCGUGCUUUCACUGCCGAGGGCCCAGUUUCAAUCCCUGGUCAGGGAGCUAAGAUCUGCAAGCCCCACAGUGUGGCCAAAAAGAAAAAAAAGACACUGACAGAAUUGAAGGGAGAAAUUGACAACUUAACAGUAAUGGUUGGAGACUACAAUACCUCAAUUUCAAGAAUGGAUUGAACAACUAGAGAGUAGAUCACCAAGGAGAUAGGACUUGGACGACACUAUAAACCAACCAGACCUAACAGGCACCUACAGAACAUUCCACCCAACAAAAGAAUACACAUUCGGGCCUCCCUGGUGGCGCAAGUGGUUGGGAGUCCGCCUGCCGAUGCAGGGGAUACGGGUUCGUGCCCCGGUCUGGGAGGAUCCCAUAUGCCGCGGAGCGGCUGGGCCUGUGAGCCGUGGCCGCUGGGCCUGCGCGUCCGGAGCCUGCGCGUCCGGAGCCUGUGCUCCGCAACGGGGGAGGCCACAGCAGUGAGAGGCCCGCAUACCGCAAAAAAAAAAAAAUAAAAAUAAAAAUAAAAGAAUACACAUUCUUCUCAAGUGAAAUUAAACAUUGUUCAUAUGGUCGAGGACAGACCAUAUAUUAAGUGACAAAACAAGUCUCAAUAAAUUUAAAAGGAUUUGAAAACAAAGUAUGUUUUCUGACCUCAAUGACCUCAGUAGAAUGAAAUCAGGAAUCAAUAGCAGAAAGAAAUUUGAGAAACUCACAAAUAUAUGGAAAUUAAACAACACACUCAUAAACAGCCAAUGGGUAGAAGAAGAAAUCACAAGAGAAAUUAUACUUAGGAAUGAGGGAAAAUGAAAACACAACAUACCAAAACUUGUGGGAUGCAGCAGAGGCAAUACUUUGAGGGAAAUUUAGAGCUGUAAACACCUACAUCAAAAAAGAACUUAAGGGGCCUCCUUGGUGGCACAGUGGUUGAGAGUCUGCCGAUGCAGGGGACAUGGGUUCAUGCCCUGGUCCAGGAAGAUCCCACAUGCCGCGGAGCGGCUGGGCCCAUGAGCCAUGGCCGCUGAGCCUGUGCGUCUGGAGCCUGUGCUCCGCAACGGGAGAGGCCACAGCAGUGAGAGGCCUGUGUACUGCAAAAAAAACCAAAAACCAAAACAAAAACUUAAAAUCAGUAACCUAAUCUUCCACCUUAAGAAACUAGAAAAAGAAGAGACAGCCCAAAGGUAGCAGAAUGAAGGAAAUAAUAAAGAUUAGAGUGGAAAAAAAAUGAAAUAGAGAAUAGAAAAACAGUAGAGAAAAAUCAACAAAACCAGAAGUUGGUUUUUUGAAAAGGUCAACAAAAUUGACAACUUUUAAGCUAGACUGACCAUGAAAAA